This 404-nucleotide unclassified non-coding RNA is filed under the name soil metagenome. Its description in RNAcentral is "partial contains 5.8S ribosomal RNA, internal transcribed spacer 2, and large subunit ribosomal RNA". The stretch from base 1 to 120 matches the Rfam family "5.8S ribosomal RNA", at positions 35 to 154 of the family's 154-position model. The record is from RNAcentral.
GAUGAAAACGCAGUGAAAUGCGAUAAGUAAUGUGAAUUGCAGAAUUCAGUGAAUCAUCGAAUCUUUGAACGCACCUUGCGCCCUUUGGCCAUUCCGAAGGGCAUGCCUGUUUGAGUAUCAUGAACACCUCAACUCUUUAUGGUUUUCCAUGAUGAGCUUGGACUCUGGGGGUUUUGCUGGCUCACAGUCGGCUCCUCUAAAAUGAAUCAGCUUACCAGUGUUUGGUGGGUAUCAUGGGUGUGAUAACUAUCUACGCUUGUGGUUUUUCCACCAGGUAACCUUCAGCAGUGGAGGUUCGCUGGAGCUCAUAGAUGUCUCUCCUCAGUGAGGACAGCCCUUUGAAUGUUUGAUCUCAAAUCAGGUAGGACUACCCGCUGAACUUAAGCAUAUCAAUAAGCGGAGGA